RNAcentral lists this long non-coding RNA (1176 nucleotides) under Homo sapiens (human). RNAcentral's name for it is "non-protein coding lnc-SLC36A2-2:1". The record is from RNAcentral. Lineage: Eukaryota; Metazoa; Chordata; Mammalia; Primates; Hominidae.
AGCCCCGAGGGAGGGUUCAGCAACUCCUCCACCCGGAGCUCCUGCUGCCAGGACAGGGCCAGCAGGACCUCGUAAGUGUCCUUUGCUCCACAGAAGCUUCUGGGCGUGGUUGCAAACCCUGAUCUACAUAGUAAAAGGCAACAUUGACUUGCAGCUCCUGAGCCUGCCCCAACCAUGAAGAAUGUGGGCAUCUUGCUGGUUCUUGUCAGCCUGUUGGUAACAUGCCUCCUGGCCAUGCACCGUGUGGGUGUCCUGGUGAAAUGUGCCUGCACUUUCACCACAGACUCAAUAAGCCCUUGAUGGACUAUGGAGAUACUGCAAUGCAGUGCUAGAGGCCAGCCCCCAUGCCUGGCUCCCUGACCACGCCCACUGGGGGAGCAGGGACAUUGUGUUCUUCCUGACUGUGGACCAGCUGGGCUUCUGCUGUGUGUUCCUGAUGCUUCUGGCAGAUAACCUCAAACAAGUGAUCAAGACAACUGAUGAGAUCAUAGCUGACUGCCAGGGCAGAGGCGUGGCGAUUCCCACACCCACCGUGGAUGUCACAUCUACACAGUGUUCACAUUUCCCUUGCUGGUGCUGCUGGUGUUCCUCCAGAGCCUCUGUGCGCUGCCUACUUUCUAGAUGCUGAACAAAGUCUUCACGCUGGGAAGCCUCGUCCUCAUCCUCCAGCAUCUCCUCCAGGAAAUCCCAGACGCCAGCAGUCUGCCCCUAGUGGCAAACUGGAAGACCUAGUCCCUGUUCUUUGGGACAACUGUCUUUGCCUUUGAAGGUACUGAAGUGGUUGUACCAGUCUGUUGAGCUCCUCUACUUGGGUGGCAUCUGCCUUACCUACCCCCUGCAGUUCUAUGUCUCUGCCAAGAUCAUUGUGCCUGUCACUGUUUCCUGGGUGUGCAAGUGCUGAACCCUCAUGGUAGACUUGGGCAUUGGCUCUGCCAUGCUUUGUAAGACAUGUUCCCUGGCCAUCCUCAUCCCCCAUCUGGGCAUGGUCCUUACCCAGAUGAGCUUGGUGAGCAGCAGCACCCUGCCCCUCAUCAUCCUGUGCCUCCUGGAGAUGACUACCUACUACUCAGAGUGCAUGAGCUCCCUCAUCAUCACCAAGGACGCCCUGAUCAGCAUCCUGGGCUUUGUGGGAUUUUUGGUGGGGACCUUCUAGGCCCUCCAUGAGCUGAUCCAGCC